Molecule: long non-coding RNA, 459 nt
Organism: Daphnia pulicaria
Lineage: Eukaryota; Metazoa; Arthropoda; Branchiopoda; Diplostraca; Daphniidae
Exons: 3
Source: RefSeq, a predicted model, not a curated record
CGUAGUUGAUUUAACAAUUAGUAUUUUUUUAUUUCCUUGACUUGCAAUCUCACCCUUAUCAAUUCUUUUGAUGUCUGAUUUUUUGAAACAGUGAGAUCCUCGUGAAAGGAAAAUAGCAUGAUCCAGGCUGUUCUUCAAUUGCAAAGAAAGAGAAUUAUGAUUGAAACAAAUGCAAAAUAUCCAACUGGAAUUCUCUCCAUAUUUGUGGUAAUUUUGGAAAAUAUUCUUUCCAGAGAAUAACACCUUAAAAUAAAUAACUGUGGUUGUGAUAAUGUAGCAGUAUUGCUUGAAUCCGUCGCCACCUUUCCAUAGACUGACCCAUUGAAUGGUGAAACUGACGAGAGAAUGCUGUUAUUCAAGACUGCUAAAUUGUUUAUUUGUUAGAUAUAUUACAAGUGCAUAUCUGGGCUCUCUUCUUUUCUGUGGCCCCGUUUCCCUAACUAACCACUAACCAACGCC